GACGAACGCUGGCGGCGUGCCUAAUACAUGCAAGUCGAGCGCUGAAGCUUGGAGCUUGUGCCGAUUGGGUUAGCGGCGGACGGGUGAGUAACGCGUGGGGAAUCUGCCUUUUAGCCGGGGACAACAUCGGGAAACGACUGCUAAUACCGCAUAAUAACUUUAACCACAAGUUUCAAGUGUGAAAGAUGCAAUUGCAUCACUCAAAAGUGAUCCCGGGUUUAAUUAGCUAGUUGGGUAGGAAAAGGCCCACCAAGGCAAGCAUACGUAGCCGCCCUGAAAGGGUGUUGGCCAACACGGGAACUGAGACACGGUCCAGACUCCUACGGGAGGAAGAGGUGGGGAAUUUUGGCAAAUGGGCGAAAGCCUGACGCAGCAAGCCCGGGGGGUUGAGGAAGGUCUUCGGUUUGAAAACCCUGUUUGUAGGGAAAGAAGAGCGGGAGAGUGAAAAGCGCAUCAAGUGACGGUACCUAACCAGAAAGCGACGGCUAACUACGUG
Molecule: ribosomal RNA, 496 nt
Filed under: uncultured bacterium
Lineage: Bacteria
Description: partial 16S ribosomal RNA
Rfam family: Bacterial small subunit ribosomal RNA
Source: RNAcentral